UCAUCUUCCAUCCAAUUCUUAGCUAGGUCAUCUCCAUCCAAGUUUUUUUAACAAAAAAAAGUUCAAAAAAUGCCCCGGGCUGGUCAUAAGUCACACAGAUUUGGAUAUGGACAUGAAGAGGAGCAAAAAGGCUUGGAAAGGAAUAAAGAAAUAUAAUAAGAUAAUAUGAACAGGGUAACCACAAGGGCAAAAUAAUUACAGCAUUAUAAUAAAACUCCUCUUGCUCAUGGCUAAAUGCAAAAACCAAACGGACAACCUCGCCCAAAUCAUAUAUGAUAGAGAAAAUUCAAAACAACUGCCUGAGAUCGCAAGCCACAUUUCACGCCAUUAACACAAGUAAAGAAACUGUAAAGAAACUGAAAUCCUCACUGUAAAGAAACUGUAAAGAAACAGAGUCACACACAUCACUAUUCACUACAUCAGAGUAAGAAACGGAGAAACGGAAAAGAAGCACCCCUGGCACUAGAAAAAGAAGCACCCACGAACAGGGAAAAAGAACCAGUGGCUGUGGUGAAGACUUACCUGGUGAAGACUGGAGAAGACUGGAGAGACGCCGUUGUUGUUGUGUGGACUCUGGUUCUCACGGUGAAGACUGGUGAAGACUGGAGAAGACUGGAGAAGAUCAGGGGCGACUGGCGAGGGCUGUUGUGGAGGUGGACGGUGGUUGAUUGUUGGCUGAGAGAAAUAGAUUACGAGACCGAGAGUCCGAGACACCGAGUCACUGAGGAAUCCUCAGUGAGGAUUUCGAAUUUUGGGUUUUCAAUUUAGGGAUUUCUGAACUUGAAGUCUUGAUUCUUGAACAAUGAAUGUGAACUGUGAAGAGAAGAGAGAAGACUGAUUGAUUCGGUGAAGAGAGAAUAAUGAAUUGCAUUUGAUUUGGUAUAUCCAAUAGGCGGUCGACACGUGGCUCCUGAAUUGUAUUUAAUUUCCUGCGGGCAAAAUCGUUGAAUCGGCAGUGAAAUCGCGAUUUUAAGCGAUUUCACCCGAUUUUAA
Molecule: long non-coding RNA, 993 nt
Filed under: Populus trichocarpa (black cottonwood)
Lineage: Eukaryota; Viridiplantae; Streptophyta; Magnoliopsida; Malpighiales; Salicaceae
Description: long non-coding RNA (PTRI_LNC003668)
Source: RNAcentral